Talpa occidentalis (Iberian mole) is the source of this 565-nucleotide long non-coding RNA. RefSeq lists it as uncharacterized. The record is from RefSeq and is a predicted model, not a curated record. The transcript has 4 exons. NCBI's taxonomy places the organism in Eukaryota, Metazoa, Chordata, Mammalia, Eulipotyphla, Talpidae.
ACCCAGAAGCUCAAGCUUCAGGGCUUAUCCUCAAGCCAUGACAAUAAAAUGCCAGUUAUACUGCUACUAGAAACUGCACUGACCCAUCAUUGACAACAAACAUAUAUUGACUUGGGGAAACCAAUGUAUAAUAAAAAAGGGAAAGACACCACCCAAAAAAAAAAAAAUGGUAAAAUUAUAAAGGCUCUGAGAAAGAGAGUGAGAGAAAUGCACAACCCAGAAAUGAAGUGACCUGAACUCCAUCUCCUGGAAAUAAAUGUUGAUUAUUAAUGGUAUUUUGUAAUGUGUUCUAUAGGCUUUGUCCCCAAGCAUAUACCAAUACUACAAAGCAUAUUUACGCUGGAUCUUCAAGCAUAAAUUCAUCUUUUGCCCAAGUAAAUCUUAUUCUGGUCACGGCCCAGAUCACCAGAAUACAGGUGUAUCCUGUUUCUCCUACCCACUACAGGAUCACAGGGGACCGGGCCAGAGAUCUGGCUGAAGUGCAAAUGAAUUGUGUCCAUGACAUGCCUCUAAAUUAAACUCUCAGUACUUUUGCUGAAAGAUGGAAUUAGUGAAUUCAAACUGA